RNAcentral lists this ribosomal RNA (451 nucleotides) under uncultured Fibrobacter sp. RNAcentral describes it as "bacterial SSU rRNA". It matches the Rfam family "Bacterial small subunit ribosomal RNA", at positions 341 to 792 of the family's 1533-position model. The record is from RNAcentral. Lineage: Bacteria; Pseudomonadati; Fibrobacterota; Fibrobacteria; Fibrobacterales; Fibrobacteraceae.
ACGGGAGGCAGCAGUAGGGAAUAUUGCACAAUGGGGGGAACCCUGAUGCAGCAACGCCCCGUGUGGGAAGAAGCAUUCCGGUGUGUAAACCACUGUCGUGAGGGAACAAUGCUUGGUCUCGGCCAAGUUGAAUGUACCUCGAAAGGAAGCACCGGCAAACUUCGUGCCAGCAGCCGCGGUAAUACGAGGGGUGUAAGCGUUGUUCGGAAUCACUGGGCGUAAAGGGAGCGUAGGCGGAGACGCAAGCAGUCUGUACAAUACCGGGGCCCGACCCCGGACCUGCAUACUGGACUGUGUCUCUUGGAUAGUUCAGGGGCAGGCGGAAUUCCUGGUGUAGCGGUGGAAUGCGUAGAGAUCAGGAAGAACACCGAUGGCGAAGGCAGCCUGCUGGAGGAUCAUCGACGCUGAGGCUCGAAAGUGCGGGUAGCAAACAGGAUUAGAUACCCUGGUA